GUCCACGCCGUAAACGAUGAUCACUCGAUAUUGGCGAUAUACUGUCAGUGUCCAAGCGAAAGUGUUAAGUGAUCCACCUGGGGAGUACGUUCGCAAGAAUGAAACUCAAAGGAAUUGACGGGGGCCCGCACAAGCGGUGGAGCAUGUGGUUUAAUUCGAUGAUACGCGAGGAACCUUACCAGGGCUUAAAUGCAGAACGACAGGCUGGGAAACCAGCCCUUCUUCGGACGGACUGCAAGGUGC
Molecule: ribosomal RNA, 243 nt
Filed under: uncultured bacterium
Lineage: Bacteria
Description: partial 16S ribosomal RNA
Rfam family: Bacterial small subunit ribosomal RNA
Source: RNAcentral